GCUCCUAGGGUUUUUCCGCACCGGAGGAGGAAAAAAGCAGCAGCCACAAACAACAAGAGCAGCCAUGGUUCUCAAGACGGAGCUCUGCCGUUUUAGUGGUGCCAAGAUAUACCCUGGGAAAGGCAUCAGAUUUGUUCGUUCUGAUUCUCAGGUGUUCUUGUUUGCAAAUUCCAAA
Morus notabilis is the source of this 175-nucleotide long non-coding RNA. RefSeq lists it as uncharacterized. The transcript has 3 exons. The record is from RefSeq and is a predicted model, not a curated record. Lineage: Eukaryota; Viridiplantae; Streptophyta; Magnoliopsida; Rosales; Moraceae.